Molecule: ribosomal RNA, 1082 nt
Filed under: Coniothyrium pyrinum
Lineage: Eukaryota; Fungi; Ascomycota; Dothideomycetes; Pleosporales; Coniothyriaceae
Description: SSU rRNA
Rfam family: Eukaryotic small subunit ribosomal RNA
Source: RNAcentral
AGCCAUGCAUGUCUAAGUAUAGCAAUUAUACCGUGAAACUGCGAAUGGCUCAUUAAAUCAGUUAUCGUUUAUUUGAUAGUACCUUACUACUUGGAUAACCGUGGUAAUUCUAGAGCUAAUACAUGCUGAAAACCCCAACUUCGGGAGGGGUGUAUUUAUUAGAUAAAAAACCAACGCCCUUCGGGGCUUCUUGGUGAUUCAUGAUAACUUCACGGAUCGCAUGGCCUUGCGCCGGCGACGGUUCAUUCAAAUUUCUGCCCUAUCAACUUUCGAUGGUAAGGUAUUGGCUUACCAUGGUUUCAACGGGUAACGGGGAAUUAGGGUUCGAUUCCGGAGAGGGAGCCUGAGAAACGGCUACCACAUCCAAGGAAGGCAGCAGGCGCGCAAAUUACCCAAUCCCGACACGGGGAGGUAGUGACAAUAAAUACUGAUACAGGGCUCUUUUGGGUCUUGUAAUUGGAAUGAGUACAAUUUAAACCUCUUAACGAGGAACAAUUGGAGGGCAAGUCUGGUGCCAGCAGCCGCGGUAAUUCCAGCUCCAAUAGCGUAUAUUAAAGUUGUUGCAGUUAAAAAGCUCGUAGUUGAAACUUGGGCCUGGCUGGCAGGUCCGCCUCACCGCGUGUACUUGUCCGGCCGGGCCUUUCCUUCUGGAGAACCUCAUGCCCUUCACUGGGUGUGUUGGGGAACCAGGACUUUUACUUUGAAAAAAUUAGAGUGUUCAAAGCAGGCCUUUGCUCGAAUACGUUAGCAUGGAAUAAUAGAAUAGGACGUGCGGUCCUAUUUUGUUGGUUUCUAGGACCGCCGUAAUGAUUAAUAGGGACAGUCGGGGGCAUCAGUAUUCAAUUGUCAGAGGUGAAAUUCUUGGAUUUAUUGAAGACUAACUACUGCGAAAGCAUUUGCCAAGGAUGUUUUCAUUAAUCAGUGAACGAAAGUUAGGGGAUCGAAGACGAUCAGAUACCGUCGUAGUCUUAACCGUAAACUAUGCCGACUAGGGAUCGGGCGAUGUUCUUUUUCUGACUCGCUCGGCACCUUACGAGAAAUCAAAGUUUUUGGGUUCUGGGGGGAGUAUGGUCGCAAGGUGA